This is a regulatory RNA element of Pseudomonas sp. FeS53a, 81 nucleotides long. It matches the Rfam family "gyrA RNA". Lineage: Bacteria; Pseudomonadati; Pseudomonadota; Gammaproteobacteria; Pseudomonadales; Pseudomonadaceae. The record is from Rfam.
UCGUGUCGUCCUGGUGCUGGCCGGGCGGCGGAUCCCGCCUCGUCCAGGAUGGAUGGCGCGGGGUUUCAUCAGAAAAAGGAA